Molecule: long non-coding RNA, 2613 nt
Organism: Eriocheir sinensis (Chinese mitten crab)
Lineage: Eukaryota; Metazoa; Arthropoda; Malacostraca; Decapoda; Varunidae
Exons: 2
Source: RefSeq, a predicted model, not a curated record
CCUCCACCUGCAUCUAUUUCCAUUCAGGCAUAUACAAGUUUCAUGAGGUAAUACGGUUAAGCCUUUCAGUAUGUCUUAUUUCUCCCUCUCUCCCUCUUUGUCCAGUGGCUAUUCAGUGCAAUUUCCCACCCUGUCUACGGUCUCUACCUCCUCCUCCACCUGCAUCUAUUUCCAUUCAGGCAUAUACAAGUUUCAUGAGGUAAUACGGUUAAGCCUAUCAGUAAGUCCUAUUUCUCCCUCUCUCCCUCUUUGUCCAGUGGCUUUUUAGGGCAGUCCUCCACCCUGUCUACGGCCUCUAACUUCUCCUCCACCCGCACCUUUUUCCAUUCAAGCAUAUAUGUGUUGCAUGAGGUAAUACUGGUAUGCCUAACAUCGUCGUCGUUCUCCCUCUCUCCCUCCUUGUCCAGUGGCUUUUUAGGGCAGUCCUCCACCCUAUCUACUGCCUCUAACUCCUCCUCCUCCUCCUCCUAUACCUAUCUCCAUCCUAGCAUAUGGUAUGAGUUGCAUGAGAUAAAACUGUUGUCUAUCGGUAUGUCUUCUUUCUCCUUCCUUUCCCUCUUCGUCCAAUGCCUUUUUAUGACAACCUCCACCCCUUUUCGGCCUCUUCCUCUCUCCAUCCAAGCAUAUACGAGUUGCAAGAGGAGAUUUACAGACUGGCAUGAAAAUAUACACCUUAUGUUCCAGAUUUGGUGAACUGUCCCUUAAACAUUAGUGAAGUGACACCAAACGGCCUGCCACCAAGACCAGGACCAAGACGCUGCAUUGCUCUCCUUACACCGAAGAAACAAAAGCAACAGUACAUAAGUUUUGGAGAAUAAGAGAAAAAAGAACGAAAGAAAAAGAAAAAUAAUAUAACCAGACAGUAAAGACACAUCAGGCAGUGCCGUUACAAAGGCAAAACUCCCGACCAACUACUACUACUACUACUACUACUACUUGUAAGCGAUUAUUAAGGUGGAAGAAGGAAGGAAGUCGAGGUUGCGUUUACAUGAGGUGGAGAGAGGAGACUGAUAUAUAUUCUGACCCUUUGAUCUGGGUUAGUUGAUUUGAUCCUUUUAACAUCGGUGAAAUGAUAGCAAACGGCCGCCAAGCCCAGGACUGAGACGCUUUAUGGCUCUCCCUUACGAAUAUUUUAGGGUGAAGGAAGGAGUGAGGUGGAAGUUGCGUUUGAUUUUAAUUUUAAUGCGAGUCCGUUUUAUGUGAGGCCAUUGAUCUCUCACGUAAAGGUACACUUCUAUAAUCUGAUAUCUUUUCAUGUUACGCCUCGUCAUGUUGUAUACGCUUAGUUUUGCUUCAGAUAACGUAAAUGUAUGCGUGUUCUUGUUUAUUAUUAUUGUUCCUAUAAACUUAUAUUUUUGUACUAGAUCGAGUCAUGCGUGUAAUGUCCCGUACUCUAUCCCAUUACAAUUAUUAUCCACGAAUUCCUUAAACUUUUGCAUAGUGUGUGUGUGUGUGUGUGUGUGUGUGUGUGUGUGUGUGUGAAGGAGGCAGCUCAAGGGUAUAAAACAAAUAAGUAAAAAUACCCCUCUAAUCACAGCUAAUAUAAAGAAAGUAGAAAUGAAUGGCAAAAGAUAGGUCAUGUGUGUGUGUGCGUGUGUGUGUGUGUGUGUGUGUGUGUGUGUGUGUGUAAGUUGAAAUCACAGCCCGCCUGGUCCCAUUACCCAACGAAGCCUUAACAAGCCCUAAUAUAGAGUGAGUAUAUGAGCCAACAGGAAUGAGUAACACGAUAAGAUAAUGACUAGUUCGCUAAAACCUUGCUUGCGCGAUACACACUAGACGAGAUGAAUGUACACUAGACGAGCUGCCUCUUCAGAUAAAAAGCGAUCCACACACACACACACACACACACACACACACACACUUGGAACGAACUAAAUUGCCACUCUUUACAUCCUUUUUUUUCUCUCUUGUGUCCCGCCAGUUAAUAAUCAAAGAAAUAUAUGCAUAAAAAAAAAAGUAUGAAGAAGCUCAGAACACACUAUUAAAGUCUCCUAACUCUAGAAUGCAGAAGAUUAAGGAAAGUGAUUUUUUUUUUUUUACAAUAAAGGAGACAGCUCAAGGGGACAAAAAAAGGAAACAAUAAUAAAAAAAGCCCGCUACUCGCUGCUGCUUAAACACGUCCAGGGAGAGAUAAUUUACACUCCAGCUUAUAAUCAAAGGAAAAACUGCAUAGGGGGCACACUAAGGCUAUAAAAAGGGAAGACACGAAGAGAGGCCAAUUCAGUUCUCGCCAUUAUAUAAAAGCGGCGGACAGCACGAUUAAUUAUAUUCUUAUCCCAUUUCUCUAUCUAUUAUCUUUCCUCUUUUUCCCUCUCUUUUCUUAUUCUAUCCUUCUUAUCCUUCCUAUAAAUAUCCUACACAUCCUACCAGCGUCCUUCCUCCCAGAUGCCGGCGUGACCCCCGUGUUCCUAGGCCAGCACUGUGAGUUUAAAGGAAGUCUGAAAAAAACGGGAGGCAACAGACUAAUUCAGUUCUCGCCUUCAUAUAUAAGCAGCAGAAUGCACAAUUAAUUAAACUAGAUCUUGUACUACAUGUGGACAAAAAUUGUAGUCCAGUGGUUUGAUGACGGGAACUGACUUUAGCUAUAUAACUCCUGCAUAAAUGUCAUAAAUA